Non-coding RNA from Oncorhynchus mykiss (rainbow trout), 1320 nucleotides. Lineage: Eukaryota; Metazoa; Chordata; Actinopteri; Salmoniformes; Salmonidae. The record is from RefSeq and is a predicted model, not a curated record.
GUCAGCGGACAGAUGCACUUGUAUCUUAAACAUUUGAAUCGGGGGGCCAAUGCGUACUGGUGAAUUGUUACGUCCCUAUUGUUUAGCAGUGUGAAUCACAAAUUCAUUCAUUUCUACCUGUUAGCCGCUGAAGAGACUACUGACCCCAUGGCCUUGAGUCAGGGGAAAUUCCAGAGAACGCACUAGUGAUAAAGGUUGUGAUGGUCCUACCAUGGACUGUCCUAGUGAUAACGGUUGUGAUGGUCCUACCAUGGACUGUCCUAGUGAUAACGGUUGUGAUGGUCCUACCAUGGACUGUCCUAGUGAUAAAGGUUGUGAUGGUCCUACCAUGGACUGUCCUAGUGAUAAAGGUUGUGAUGGUCCUACCAUGGACUGUCCUAGUGAUAAAGGUUGUGAUGGUCCUACCAUGGACUGUCCUAGUGAUAACGGUUGUGAUGGUCCUACCAUUUACUGUCCUAGUGAUAACGGUUGUGAUGGUCCUACCAUGGACUGUCCUAGUGAUAACGGUUGUGAUGGUCCUACCAUGGACUGUCCUAGUGAUAAAGGUUGUGAUGGUCCUACCAUGGACUGUCCAAGUGAUAAAGGUUGUGAUGGUCCUACCAUGAACUGUCCUAGUGAUAAAGGUUGUGAUGGUCCUACCAUGGACUGUCCUAGUGAUAAAGGUUGUGAUGGUCCUACCAUGGACUGUCCUAGUGAUAAAGGUUGUGAUGGUCCUACCAUGGACUGUCCCUAGUGAUAACGGUUGUGAUGGUCCUACCAUGGACUGUCCUAGUGAUAAAGGUUGUGAUGGUCCUACCAUGGACUGUCCUAGUGAUAACGGUUGUGAUGGUCCUACCAUGGACUGUCCUAGUGAUAACAGUUGUGAUGGUCCUACCAUGGACUGUCCUAGUGAUAACGGUUGUGAUGGUCCUACCAUGGACUGUCCUAGUGAUAAAGGUUGUGAUGGUCAUUGACUUAAAGAACAAUGAGGGAGUCAGAUCCACCAUUCCAGGUAGCGCAGCAUCAUUGAUCAACCAAUCCUACAAUGAGGUGGCUGUGGAGCCAGAGAUCACAACCUCAGCUAAUCCAGUUCACAACUUCUGCUUCCUGUGGCCCUGGGUCACACCUGCUGUUUGUGUGUUUAUAACAACAGCAUGUCUCAAGUUGCAGGAUCUCAACGUCUUACUGUUCACACCCCAGAGCAUGGUAGACUUCACUAGCGCUAUUUCCGAGCCAUCUCUCAGCUCCAGACAGUCAAUGUACAAUAUAGAACACCUACUGAAAACCUGUUGCAGAUUGUCCUCUCCACUGUGCAGUCCACUUUGCCAAUCUUGACAUCAG